Molecule: long non-coding RNA, 6947 nt
Filed under: Vigna radiata
Lineage: Eukaryota; Viridiplantae; Streptophyta; Magnoliopsida; Fabales; Fabaceae
Description: long non-coding RNA (VRAD_LNC010038)
Source: RNAcentral
AGGUGGGCCCAAGGUAAUCCACAUGAGCCAAUUACCUUAGGGAAAAUCCUUAUCCCAUAAGAUGUAAGAUAUAGUUUGUUAUCCUCUUCUCCUCUAUAUAAGGAGACAUCAUCCUUGUGAAGAAGCAGAAGCAACUAAAUAAGAUCCUUUGAGUUUCUUCAACAACUAUGAGUUUCUAAAUCUCUCUUCUUCUCUCUCGAAAAUCCUCUUUAUUAUGUCUUGGUUUUAGAAGAUUAGAGAAGGCAAGGAAAUGGCUUAUUUCAGAGUAAGUAUGCUCUGCACUUGUCUCUAUAAGAGGAUCUUGUGCAUCAUAAAGCUCUGAAUAUAAGGCAUAUUUCAGAGUAAGUAUGCUCUGCACUUGCCUCUAUAAGGGGAUCCUGUGCAUUAGAAAACUCCGAAUAUGGUCCUUGAAUACCAUACUGUGAUCAUAAGGAGGAACAAAGUAACAUUCUAGUAGGCCUGGAUUUCCAGGUGCUCUUAGUGAGCUAGACUGCCGCGUUGUUACUAUCUUGUGCGAUAGAUAAUAAAGUAUAUUCUGAUGGAAUCAUUGGAAAAGGGCUUAGAAAAGAAUGAUGAUAGAAGCCCAAAGUACUAUGAAUCCUUUGGUUAUGCGGUAUUAUCUCCGACACGAGACCAAAUGGUAUUAGAGCCUAAAGGAAAACCAGUUUCCUUCCUUGUCUUCUCUAAGAACAGGAACCAUGAUAUAAUAUGGAUAUGGGUGAGUAGAGAGAGAUUUUUACAACCCAUGGAAACACCUACAGAAACAUAACCUAUUCUCUUAAAUUCCUCUUUGUCUCUCCCAAACAAUAUCUCCAGAACACUUUCCUGAAAGAUCGAAAAUCUAUUAGAAUAUUCACAUGUCCCUGAAGACGCACAGGUCUCUGAGUCUUCAACUCCCCUACUUACUCCGUACAAUAUCUUCAGAAGACGCAAAUCCUCCAUCCGAUCCAUUGGCAGACUCAUUACUUCCCGAAGACCUCCUGAAAAAGAAUUUGUUCAGUCCUCCCGAAUGGAACAAUGUUCACUUGUGGCAACAUCAGAAGAACAAUAUGUGACAAUAGAAAUACCAAAAGAAUUAAUCUAUCAUUGGCAACAUGAAGGAUACGCUCACCUACAUUAUGGGGCCAUCAGACUCAUUCUUUCCCUCCAUGGAAGAAGAGGCCUUCCUGUCUCUGCCAAGGUCUCUCUUUUAGAUUCCAGAUUUCUUCACUAUGAAAAUGCUGUCAUAGGAACAAUACUCACCACCUUACAUGCGGGAAGCGUAGUUCUUACUAUGUUUCCUAAUUAUAAUGUCAGCCUGAGAGAUCAAACCAUGCCCCAAAGACUUAAAGUGCAAGUACAAAUAACGGGAGCCGAACAAGUAGCUGAAGCCCUUAGUGCAACGCUACAUCAUCAAAUUAUCUAUAGGUUGCAGAAUCAUGCAGUCAACCUAUCUUCACCCUCGAGUACUGAAGGCGCUCUGUUUGUUAUGGCUAACCCCCAUGAAGAGAGCCCAUCUAUAGUCCAGAUCCUUAGAAAUAUUUUCAGACAACAGUUAGAGAAACUUAUUCCUUUACAAUGGGUGACUAAUUACGAAAAGCUACACGAGAAUAAAAAACCUCUCUAGACUUCUGAAGCUACUUUCAGGAGAUCAAUAGACAGAACAGUCAGAACCAUUUUCAAGCAGCUAGGAGAUGAAGCCAGUACCAGCUCCUUUCAAAUUUUUCGGUCCAUGAUGAUCCGACCAGUCACCAAGGAGAAGAAAAUCCCUAUGUGGGGAGUUCUUCCCAAUGGAAAGCCCAUAUUCACAGAUAAAAUCAAUGGUCAUUUCAUAUGGGAUGUUGAUCUUUCUAUGUGUGACCCAGACUGUGAAUGCAGCAAGGAUGACGACAGUUCCGAAGACGAAGAAUCAGACGAGGAAAACACAGAUCAUGAAGAUUACUGCAGACCUUUUCCUCCUCCUAGAAGAAGAUCAUAUCCCUCCUCUGGACCAUGGAUUGGAAUUCAUGAACCUAAAGAACCAGAUCCUUUGUGGUUUAAAAAAGAUGUGCAGAAAUCCUGGGAAAAGAAGAAAGUUUCUCCUUCCGCACUAAGAUUUCUCAGUCGCCAAUCCCUUGUUUUAUGAUUUCUGGAUCCAAUUACGAACAAGAAUUUCCUUCUUUAGAAAGAACGGUAGAUCCUAUCACUAGGAUCAGCACCAAGCCGAAUAUCUCUCCAUCAGAGAUAGGACCUGAUGGGAGGUCUAAACCUUUAACUCAAGCAGAAGAGGUGCUCAACUGGCAAACAGAGAAUGCUAAAGUUCAAAACUUUAUGCUUAGAAGAAUUGAUCAAAAGAUAGAUGGACUCUCAUCGCAAGUGAAGAAUACAGAUGCAAGAUUAGAGCUCCUCUCUGAUAGAAUGAAAGAACAUUAUGUUCUUCUUACAGCUGAGAUCUCCAUAUUAGAAGAAGAAUGGAAAAGGACCACAUUUGGUGAAGCUUCCCAUGCCACAAAAAGAGAGAUCAAGAAGCCGAAGGCACAACUCCAUGACUUGGAUCAUUAUAUCGAGUCAAAAAUAAAAGAAAAGUAAUCCCCAUUCCCUGAUACUCUCAGCCUCCUCCUUUCACCCCUUAUCGGCCCUUAUUCCAACCAUCUUCCUCUACAGGUCACAAAUCCAGACAAACAUAUUCUCUCCCAACCGCUACAACAUUUAGAAACAAACAAAAACCCAGAACCUCUAUACCUCCAGUUUCUACUCAAGAAACCAGGAAAACUCCUACCGAAACUCUGUCACAAUCCCCAAUGGAUUCAUCUGAAAAGGAAGACUAUUUCCAGGACUCCCAGGAUCCAUACGCUCAAUUCACCAUUGAAAAUACCAGCAUAAGAUCUUUUGAAUACACAUCCUCUGACGAAAACACUGAAAAUUACUCUGAUAAUUAUUCAGAGUCUUCUGAUGAAUAUGCUAACAUACUCAAGGCCAACAUAGGAAGUUCUAGUAUAAGACAAGAACCCAUAUAUGAAUCUCCUGAAGAAAUUGAGCCACCUUUAAGAGAUAAUCCCUCCAAACCUAAUAGUGGGCCAUGGUUUUCCAUAGACGACCUCUCUUCCAAUCAAUGGAGAGCCAGACUUUUUGAAUUUGGAGCCUGGUAGACACCAAACUCAUCAAAGAUGCAGAUUCCUACAAGGUCAUAGAAGAGUUUUGUUGCCGAAUGACUGGAACUCUAAAAGAAUGGUAUCACAACCUAGGACCUGUCAGGCAAGACCAAUUUCAUAACUUGGGAUCAACUGCAGCAGUUUUAGGAGCCCUCCAUGAAGAGUUUAUUGGAGAUGGAGCUGUCAUUGAUAGGAAGAUGCGACAAGAGUUUUUUAGAUGAAGUGUUGCUCCCUAAACAUGAAAGAUUUAGAUAGGCAUUUCAAACGAAUGCUACAACGGUUUUAUCUGCUAAAUGGAGCAAAUGAUGUCAGUCUCAAAAAUACGUAUGUGGCCUCUCUUCCAGCCCAUUUGCAACCAGAAUUAAACAGAAUGGCCAUGGCAGCCCAGAAGGACUUCUCCACCACGACCAUGGGACAAAUCCACCAGAUGACUAAAGAGGCUGUUGAUAAGUUAUGUAGGCAACACCAAUAUUUCUCUGAUUUGAUGAAUAAUAAAGGGAAAUUUGGAAAGGCCUGCAAAAAAUCUUAUUUGGAGAUAAAAUGCAAAGACAAAUGCAGUUGUCGGAGAAAGAAAAAUAAGGGAGAAAAACCUUACAAAAGAAAAGAGAAGAAUCUCAAGUUUUUCAAAAAAAGAAAUUUCAGAAAAAGGCCCCAAGGACAGAGGUGUUAUUUGUGUGGCAAAAAGGGACAUUUUGCUAAGUCUUGUCCUAACAAAGCAGACAAGGCCAUUAAACUUGACACGUCCCUCAAGAUUAGAGAUGAAGAAGUUGAGUCACUGUAUUCAGAACAAUCUUCCCCUGAUGAAGAUACAGUUUUCGCACUAAGAAAUUACUCUGAGGAAGAAUAUUUUGAAGAAGAAACACUUCCAAUUUUCUCGACCGAAGAAAUAAAUAGCCUCAAUCCAUCUCCUCCUCAUCCCAAUAUUGAAGUUCAGAUUCUUCCAACAAAGUUCAACAUGCCUGUCAAAGCAAUCACAUACAUUGACACUGAUGAAUCCCGACAUCCUUCCUGAAGAACUCUGGUAAAAAAAGACAUCAUAUUUUAUGGCUGCUGAUGGAAAGAUAUUCAAAACUGAUCUCAUCACCAAAACCUUUAUCUAAAUCAAAUUUUUCCCUGACUGCAUCAUCUGGGCUAAAGUAAUAGGCAACAAGCUUCCUGGCAAGGAUAUUUUGAUUGGCAUGGACAUAUUCUCUAAGGAAGACAAAUUACAGAUACUGCCCUCCGGUCUAAAAUAUUAAAGGGAGUUCAAGUCUUUUGUAGAAACCUCUACAUUAUUCUCUCUUUCAACAUCCCCUUCAGAAAUGGAAGAGAUAAAAAAGAAGUUACUCUCUUUAUGCGCUAAUAAUCAUGGAGGAUUUUCUCACCCAAGACCUCUAUGGAAAAAUCCAAACUUCUUUGUUAAACUCCCUUUCAAGCUUAAUGAGCAUGUUAAUCCUACAAAAGCUACACAUCCUGGAAUGACACCAUCCGAUCUACAACUAGCCAGACAAGAAUGCCAAGAACUUUUAACACAUGGAUUGAUAGAACCCACACAUUCCAACUGGGCAUGUCAAGCCUUUUAUGUGGAAAAAAGAUCAAAAUGGGUAAGGGGAAAAAAGAGGUUAGUAAUUGAUUACAAGCCUUUAAAUCAUUUUCUUCAGGAUGACAAAUUUCCUAUUCCUAAAGCCUCUUCUCUCCCCAUCCUACUGAAAGAAUCCAAUAUUUUUUCAAAAUUUUAUUUAAAAUCCAGAUUCUGGCAGAUAGGUAUUGAUCCUUCUGAAAGACAGAAAAUAACCUUUUGUAUACCCAAUGCCCAAUACCAGUGGAUAGUACUCCCAUUUGGCCUCAAAGUCGCUCCCUCUUUGUUCCAAAAAGCCAUGACAAGAAUCUUUGAACUAAUCUUGGAAAAUGCUAUCAUCUACAUUGAUGAUAUUUUACUUUUCUCAAAAGACUUAGUAACCCAUAAAAAAUUAUUAGACCAGUUCUUCAAUUUAGCCGACCAAUACGGGAUAAUGCUUGAUGAAAAGAAAAUCCACCUGGCAUAGUCUGAAAUUGAUUUUCUAGGGAUGAACUUUUCUAAGGGUUUCUAUCAGCCACAAAAACAUAUAGCAGAAGAACUCCUUAGAUUCCCUGAUCACUCACUAACCACCAAACAAAUCCAACAGUUUUUAGGAAUCCUCAAUUACAUCAGAAGCUCUUGCAGUAAAAAAUGGAAUAAAAAAGUUUGAUUUCCACCUCAGAGGUUUUCAGUUCGAAAUACAGAUGGACAACUCCUCAUUCCCAAAUAUCCUUGAAUUCAAAAACAAAAUGCCUCCAGACCCUCAGAUAUUGUGACUCAAGGAUUGGUUCUCUCGAUAUGAUUUCACUGUAAAACAUAUCAAAGGCAACAAAAAUCUCAUUCCAGAUUUUCUAUCUCGACCAACAAAAGUUGUACAAAUGAUUACCAAGACUCACAGUUUCCCUUUGAUUUUCAUGGUAAGACCUUUACCCAAUUGUGCCAAAACCCAAAAGCUUUAUCCUCUAGGGUUAUCUCCCAGAACCCCAAAAGAUAUUUUGGAUUAUGCUAAAUCCAGAUACUUCUUUUUCCUUAAUGAGACACUAAAAUUUAAGGUCAUUCAUCCUACUGCAUUUGAUCCCACAAACCCAAACGGAAAUGUUUUUUAUCUAUUCUGUGACAUUGGAUGGGAUCUUUGUGAACCCUCAUUAUGGGCUAUAUGGUGCAAAACAGUACAACAUCCCACUCCCAUUGCCUUGCAGACAAAAAGGGCCUAUCAAAUUCUAACAGAUUCUCUCAAGCAUGAAUUUUUGUUUUGGACUGUACUCGAAUGGUUUAGUCUUAUCACCUAGUCGAGGUCAGAAUUGGAACAGAUACUCUCAUAUCAGGAAAAUCAGAGAAAGACAAAUGCACAAGCAUUAGUCUCCAUCUUUAUUGUCUACAGGCCCUAUGGAAUUAACCCCUGUGGGCAAUUGUUCUAACAGAAUCAUGCUUAUACUUGGGGAAAUUUCGAAGAAUAUCCAUUAAACGACAGCUAUAAAAGGCAGUUAAAAAGACAUCUUCAAGAUACUAAUCUCAGUGGUCAUUCCCCUUCGAGCAGGCUAAUUCCAUCUAGUUCCGGAAGCUGGCAAAUCACUGUUUGCUCGGAGUAUCAUAUCCCAGCACAAUUGUUUCAGUGAAUUGAGGAUCUGGUAUCUCCUGAAGAAGAUGAAAGUCCAAAUGACUUGAUGGAUGAAGAUUCAGAUGACCCCAACCUCUCUCCAAGUCAUGAUCGUAUAUGUAAAUAAUAAAGCCACUACAGGCCUAUUGUACUAUAAUGGUCCCAAAUGAUGUUGUAAGAUAUAGUGGACCCAAUGUAAUCUAGAUAAGAUUAGAUGAUGUGUGUAAUCUAGAUAAGAUAAAGUGUGACAUGUAAGAUAAGGUUUGUUAUCAGGAUAAGGUGGGCCCAAGGUAAUCCACAUAAGCCAAUUACCUUAGGGAAAAUCCUUAUCCCAUAAGAUGUAAGAUAAGGUUUGUUAUCCUCUUCUCCUCUAUAUAAGGAGACAUCAUCCUUGUGAAGAGGCAGAAGCAACUAAAUAAGAUCCUUUGAGUUUCUUCAACAACUAUGAGUUUCUAAAUCUCUCUUCUUCUCUCUCGAAAAUCCUCUUCUUUAUUAUGUCUUGGUUUUAGAAGAUUAGAGAAGGCAAGGAAAUGGCUUAUUUCAGAGUAAGUAUGCUCUGCACUUGCCUCUAUAAGAGGAUCUUGUGCAUCAGAAAGCUCCGAAUAUAAGGCAUAUUUCAGAGUAAGUAUGCUCUGCACUUGCCUCUAUAAGGGGAUCCUGUGCAUCAAAAAACUCCGAAUAUGGUCCUUGAAUACCAUACUGU